AUGAAUCUCUUGGCCUGGAACUGUCGAGGCUUGGGGUUGGACUCGAUAGUUGGCGAAUUACGAUACCUGGUACAGUCCCACAACCCAACCGUGGUUUUCUUAAGUGAAACAAAAAAGAAAUCAAGAGCUAUGGACAGACUCAAAUGGAGUUUGGGGUUUACUAAUGGGGUGGCGGUUGACUGUGUAGGCCGGAGUGGUGGCCUAGCACUCUGGUGGAGAGAU
RNAcentral lists this ribosomal RNA (222 nucleotides) under Triticum aestivum (bread wheat). RNAcentral describes it as "partial small subunit ribosomal RNA". Lineage: Eukaryota; Viridiplantae; Streptophyta; Magnoliopsida; Poales; Poaceae. The record is from RNAcentral.